This 478-nucleotide ribosomal RNA is filed under the name Streptococcus mitis. RNAcentral's name for it is "bacterial SSU rRNA". It matches the Rfam family "Bacterial small subunit ribosomal RNA", at positions 28 to 493 of the family's 1533-position model. Lineage: Bacteria; Bacillati; Bacillota; Bacilli; Lactobacillales; Streptococcaceae. The record is from RNAcentral.
GACGAACGCUGGCGGCGUGCCUAAUACAUGCAAGUAGAACGCUGAAGGAGGAGCUUGCUUCUCUGGAUGAGUUGCGAACGGGUGAGUAACGCGUAGGUAACCUGCCUGGUAGCGGGGGAUAACUAUUGGAAACGAUAGCUAAUACCGCAUAAGAGUAGAUGUUGCAUGACAUUUGCUUAAAAGGUGCAAUUGCAUCACUACCAGAUGGACCUGCGUUGUAUUAGCUAGUUGGUGAGGUAACGGCUCACCAAGGCGACGAUACAUAGCCGACCUGAGAGGGUGAUCGGCCACACUGGGACUGAGACACGGCCCAGACUCCUACGGGAGGCAGCAGUAGGGAAUCUUCGGCAAUGGACGGAAGUCUGACCGAGCAACGCCGCGUGAGUGAAGAAGGUUUUCGGAUCGUAAAGCUCUGUUGUAAGAGAAGAACGAGUGUGAGAGUGGAAAGUUCACACUGGACGUACCUACCAGAAAGGAC